Molecule: ribosomal RNA, 37 nt
Filed under: Persicaria orientalis
Lineage: Eukaryota; Viridiplantae; Streptophyta; Magnoliopsida; Caryophyllales; Polygonaceae
Description: partial 26S ribosomal RNA
Source: RNAcentral
GACCCCAGGUCAGGCGGACUACCCGCUGAGUUUAAGC